UACAGAGGGUGCAAGCGUUGUUCGGAAUCAUUGGGCGUAAAGGGCGCGUAGGCGGCCUUGUAAGUCGGAUGUGAAAGCCCAGGGCUCAACCUUGGAAGUGCAUCCGAAACUACAGGGCUCGAAUCUCGGAGAGGGUGGUGGAAUUCCCAGUGUAGAGGUGAAAUUCGUAGAUAUUGGGAGGAACACCGGUGGCGAAGGCGACCACCUGGACGAAGAUUGACGCUGAGGCGCGAAAGCGUGGGGAGCAAACAGG
RNAcentral lists this ribosomal RNA (253 nucleotides) under uncultured bacterium. Its description in RNAcentral is "partial 16S ribosomal RNA". It matches the Rfam family "Bacterial small subunit ribosomal RNA", at positions 524 to 776 of the family's 1533-position model. The record is from RNAcentral.